Molecule: long non-coding RNA, 1936 nt
Organism: Anguilla rostrata (American eel)
Lineage: Eukaryota; Metazoa; Chordata; Actinopteri; Anguilliformes; Anguillidae
Exons: 3
Source: RefSeq, a predicted model, not a curated record
CCAUGGGAGCCGCCAUGUUUAUGUCACUGAACAGGAAGUCAGGAAUUUACAGUGUUUUCGACCCUGUGGUUCAUGUUUCAGGAGGCAUGCAUACCAUCAUCUAGCAAGUUAAUUUGCCUGUUCGACUUCACUGCAUGUUGAUGUAAACAGUUUCCAGAUUGCAUCCACUGUCCCGUGCUUAUAAAUGCAAUACCCUGCUGCAGUGCUGGAGGUCCAGCUGAUUGCAUGCCUUGUGUGUGAGCAGUGACAGUGCCAACCUGAAGUCAAUAGAGUGGAGAAGGGCCAAGAAUCCAGAUGACCACAAAGGUUCCAUCCUCUGGGAAGGAGCUGAGAGAGAUUUCCCAUGGUCCCUGGAGGCAAAAAUUUGUGUAUUUGCUGUAAAUUACAUUAAAGUUAAAACAGCAUGCCAAAUGUUUUUAUUUUGAUGAACGAAAGGAAAAGUUGCGUAUUUGAAAAGUUCAUGAAAGUAUGUCUUUAAUUGGGCUUUAAUUGUUAGCAGUGAAAGGCUUUUUAGAAAAUGCAGUGUUUACUGUUAGCAGUAAACUUUCCAGUCUUUCUGACUCAUUUAUUGGAAUGUCAUGCUUGUGUCCUCCGGAAAUAUCUGUAAUAUAAGAAACACCUGUUGAAUGGUGCAGAUGUGGUACCCUUAACAACAACUCAGUGAAUCCACAGGUAGACAAGUCUGAAAUUAAUUACAUAAAAAUAACAUACUAUUUGACAUUUAAAAAGCAAAGUCUCAGUAAAAAAAGCAAGCCUCCUACAAGGCAACUAACAUGAAGUAAAUGGUUUAGAACUUAACUGAGAAGUGAAUGUCAGGUCAGUUCAGGUUUAUGUGGUCCUUAACAGGCCCAUAAACCACCAGCAUUCAAUUUGUCAUCUCAUUGUAUUUUAUGGCUGGAAUAUUAACAUUUCAGGAGCAAUAUUGUUUGCAUGUGAAAACACCUUUAGCAACUUUCACACAAACUAGACUGUAACUAGGCUUUUCAGUGUGUUGUCAGGCAUUGUAUGGUGCAAUACAAAACAAUGGUGUAUAUAAUAGCAUGCAAUGUAAGUUAUUUGCAGGAAUAAUAUGUACUGUAAUAAGCAAAGUAGACAAAGUAUCAGAGGGGUCAAUAGGAGGUACACUACAUUUCCAAAAAUAUGUGGAGACCUGAAAAUCACACCCAUAUGUGCUUGUUGAACAUCUCAUUCUAAAACCAUGGGCACUAAUGUGGAGUUGGAGCAUUCCAAUUCAUCCCAAAGGUGUUUGAUGGGGUAGAGGUCAGGGCUCCGUGCAGGCCAGUCAGGUUCUUUCCCUCAGCAAAUGAUUUGUCCUGCUGAAACAAGAAAGGGCCUAUCCCAAACUGUUGCUACAAAGUUGGAAGUGCACAGUUCUCUAGAAUGGCCUUGUAUGCUGUAGCAUUUAGAUUUCCCUUCACUGGAACUGAGGAGCCUAGCCCAAGCCACAGACCAUUAUUCCUCCUCCGCCAAGCUUCACAGUUGGCACUAUUCAGGUCAGUGCAGUCGGCAGUAUACUUUCCGCCAAAUCCAGAUUCUUCCGCCAGAUAGUGAAGCGUGAUUAAUCACUCCAGAGAACGCGUUUCCACUGCUCCACAGUCCAAUGGUGCUGUGCUUUAAACUACUCCAGCCCACGCUUGGCAUUGCGCAUGGUGAGCAUAGGCUUGUGUAUGGCUGCUAGGCCGUGGAAACCCAUUUCAUGAAGCUCUUGACGAACAGUUAUUGUGCUAAUGUUGUUUCCAGAGGUAGUUUGGAACUCUGUAGUGAGUGUUGCAACCAAGGACAUGAUUUUCAUGCGCUACAUGCUUCAGCACUCAGUGGUCCUGUUCUGUGAGCUUGAGUGGCCUACCGCUUCACAGCUGACCUGUUGUUGCUCCUGUACGUUUUCACUUCACAAUCACAUUAUGCAGUUGACUUGGGAAACUCUAGCAGGACAUGA